Phascolarctos cinereus (koala) is the source of this 872-nucleotide non-coding RNA. Lineage: Eukaryota; Metazoa; Chordata; Mammalia; Diprotodontia; Phascolarctidae. The record is from RefSeq and is a predicted model, not a curated record.
AUCGCAUGCCUGGGUCUCCAGUUUGGCUGGAUUCCAGAACACCUGGCCCAGCAUUCCUAAGCCCAGGGCCCUGCAUGAGCUCAUUCUGAUGACGAAUAGAAUCCCUGAUCUUCCCAUCAUCCCAGCCCCAUCCUGAGCCCUGAAAGAAAUGGAAACUUUCCUGGCAAGAAAGAGCCUGGGGUCCCAUCCUGACUCUGACACUUCCUGCUGCCUCUGUAACCUUGGCAAGGCACUCUAUCUGUUGGGGCCUCAGUUUCCUCAUCUGUAAAAUGAAAGCUGGAGGGUCUCCAGCUAAACCACCCUCCAUGAUCCUGUGGUCCCCUAGCUUGGGGGGUCCUGCACCUGGUGCCAACUCUUCCACCCCUGCAGUGAGGACAGCAAUUACGUCCACCACCUUGGUACUGAGAGGAAGGAGGAGAGUUCUUGUCACCCUUUCCCAUUUGGCCAUCGUAUCCAGUGCUUGGCCGUGACAAAGGGCUCCUCGGUGGAAAUGACCCAGACAAGAGGCAUUGCCAUCUGCAUCGCCGCUGCCUGAGGAGACUCCCCUCGACCUGAAGCUGAAACCCCCACUAUGGUUUGGCUCCCCCACCAAGCUCCUUGUGUGCAGGGAUUGUUUCGGUUUAGGCAGCUGGGGGUGGGGUGGACAGUGCUGCACCUGGAGUCCAUAAGAAGACCUGAGUUCAAAUUCAGCUUCGUGGUCUACCUUAGUUUCCUCACCCGUAAAAUGGAGGAAAAAUAGCCCCUGGGUCCUAGGGUUCUGGAUGGCAAAUGCUCUGUAAACCUUAAAGCGCUGUUGACUCUAUUGAUCGUUACUGUUCUUCUCUUCUGUCUUGGCACACAGCAGUCAUCCAAUAAAUACUCACUGAGCCAUG